This 253-nucleotide ribosomal RNA is filed under the name uncultured bacterium. Its description in RNAcentral is "partial 16S ribosomal RNA". It matches the Rfam family "Bacterial small subunit ribosomal RNA", at positions 524 to 776 of the family's 1533-position model. The record is from RNAcentral.
GACGAGGGGUCCAAGCGUUGUUCGGAAUCAUUGGGCGUAAAGCGGGUGUAGGCGGCUCUAUAAGUCAGGAGUGAAAUCCCCGAGCUUAACUUGGGAAGUGCUUUUGAUACUGUAGAGCUUGAAUGUGGGAGAGGAUCGUGGAAUUCCAGGUGUAGUGGUGAAAUACGUAGAUAUCUGGAGGAACACCGGUGGCGAAGGCGGCGAUCUGGCCCAACAUUGACGCUGAGACCCGAAAGCAUGGGGAUCAAACAGG